AUUGAACGCUGGCGGCAGGCCUAACACAUGCAAGUCGAGCGGAUGAAGGGAGCUUGCUCCUGGAUUCAGCGACGGACGGGUGAGUAAUGCCUAGGAAUCUGCCUGGUAGUGGGGGAUAACGUCCGGAAACGGGCGCUAAUACCGCAUACGUCCUGAGGGAGAAAGUGGGGGAUCUUCGGACCUCACGCUAUCAGAUGAGCCUAGGUCGGAUUAGCUAGUUGGUGGGGUAAAGGCCUACCAAGGCGACGAUCCGUAACUGGUCUGAGAGGAUGAUCAGCCACACUGGAACUGAGACACGGUCCAGACUCCUACGGGAGGCAGCAGUGGGGAAUAUUGGACAAUGGGCGAAAGCCUGAUCCAGCCAUGCCGCGUGUGUGAAGAAGGUCUUCGGAUUGUAAAGCACUUUAAGUUGGGAGGAAGGGCAGUAAGUUAAUACCUUGCUGUUUUGACGUUACCAACAGAAUAAGCACCGGCUAACUUCGUG
This 484-nucleotide ribosomal RNA is filed under the name uncultured bacterium. RNAcentral's name for it is "partial 16S ribosomal RNA". It matches the Rfam family "Bacterial small subunit ribosomal RNA", at positions 30 to 507 of the family's 1533-position model. The record is from RNAcentral.